Molecule: long non-coding RNA, 1301 nt
Organism: Drosophila virilis
Lineage: Eukaryota; Metazoa; Arthropoda; Insecta; Diptera; Drosophilidae
Source: RefSeq, a predicted model, not a curated record
GGCACGGUCAUCGGAAUGUCGAUAAAUCAAAGCUGCUUCUACGCUGCUGCUUCCUCUUGCUUGGAGGCAGCGUAGCAAGUGGCUGCGGCAUUCAUCACAGAGAAUUAAUCAGAGCAGAUGAAGCGACAACCGAAAAAUAACGACGCGGCAUCUCUUAAAGGCUCCGCGUUAUCGCUUUAAUCGACAUGGCCGGCUCUCAGUUUCAGUCGCAGUCGCAGUCGUCGUCUCAGUCGCAGUCGCAGUGCGUGACCAUAGCCACGAUCCGGCCACAGGUUCUGGCCACAACACACACACACACGAAAUACUCAUUAAGGCUUUUACCAGCUAAUGUAAACAACCUGGCAUGUGUGUGUGUGUGUGUGUGAGAGGUAAAAUGAAAUACAACACACAGAUACUCACACACACACACACGCACACACUCUUCUGUGAAUGGAUUGAAAUUUAUGAAAGGCCAUCGCAGCAUCAAAGCCAAUUAAGAUACUGGCACUGAAUACAUACAAGCUUUAAAGGAAUACACGACUAAUUUCUGCGACAAAGCCGACAAAAGAUCCCCUCCAAAGGGACUGGGGUUGGGGCUGGGGCUGUGCCUGGGUUGGAUACGACUUUUGUCGCAGCGGCACUUUUGUCGCAAACACAGGCCGUAAAAUUAAGAACUCUGAUUGUGUCUCCUCGGCGCAUCAAUGAUAAAAUAUUUAAAUGAGCGGCCAAUGCGAAGGCAAUCGGACAUUCAGGAAACCAAAAACCAACAGAGAGACCAGAGACCAGAGACCAGAGUGACCACAAAACCCUAAUGGCCCCUGGGCACGCACCGGAGCCAUAUAACUAAAAUAAAAUAUGGCUGGAUCCACUGUGCGUUGAAUUUUGUUAAGCGACAAAGCAAAGCAACAUUGGAGAGAACUGAGUCGAUGGCGCAAAGCAAAAUGCAAUUUUUCGGCAAAAAGUGAUGAGAGUGGAGCGUCUUGUAUGUGGAGAGAAUGAUGGAGAGUGAGGGCAGAAUAACAAAGCAUAGGCAGAUUACAAUAAUGGCUGCUUCUCACAUACAUACAUACAUACAUACAUACACACAUGUAGACAUGUGCACAUGUACGUUAUACAUACUCUAGCCAUUUAAUGGCUGCAGGGUAUAACUGUUACUGUUAUAUAUGAAAUUCUUCUUAAUGAACAGAAAUAAGGAGCGUAAUCGAUGUUUGGGGCCUUGCUUGUUAAUUACUUGAUAAUUAUCAGAUACACAUUGUUAUGUAAAAUUAAAGCUCAAACACCUACACGUGUUUGCCUUUUGGCUCUUCAACAUUUAACGACAA